UAUGUUAUAGAUGUUUAUUGUUGUUAUUUUAAUAUAUUGGAUUAGUAUAGUGAGUGAUAGUUAUGGGGUUUCUAUAGUUUAUUUAGUACUGUUGUGGAAUUAUUUUUAUUUUUAUUAAAUUUAGGUUAUUUAAUACCUUUUGUAUUAGGGUUCUUUUAUGUUAAUGUGUAUUAAUAUUUUCUCGAUAAAUAUCGGGCUAUUUUAUUAGUUUUAAUUUCGUUGUAUAGAGUUUUUUAUAGUAAAAUAGUUAUGAAAUAUUAUUCAAGUUAUUUUGUAUCUAGUUCUUUUAGAGGUAUAAUAGAGUGUGUGUUUAUAUUGAAGUUAUGUAGGGAUUAGCUUAUGUAUUGUUUAUAUAAUGUUGGUGUUUUUAAUUGUUUGUGAUGUUAAAAGUUCUUAUUUUUAUGGUGUUAUUACUGAAUAAGUUGUAUUUAUUAUUUUUUUUAUUUAUGUUAUAAUUAAAGAUAUUAUGUUAAUUUGGGUUGUUAUGGUAUAAUGAUGAUAUUAGUAAUUUUAUUAUUUAUUUUUUAUUGAUUUGGAUUUAGGUGUGGUAAGUUGAAUGGAAAUUAGGGAUGAAGAAUUCGGCAAAAAUUGACUUUUGACUGUUUAGCAAAAACAUUGUUUUUUGUUUAGAUAAAAAAUAAUUUCUGCCCACUGCUGUUGUGGUAAAGGGCUGCAGUAUU
Molecule: ribosomal RNA, 680 nt
Filed under: Motyxia porrecta
Lineage: Eukaryota; Metazoa; Arthropoda; Diplopoda; Polydesmida; Xystodesmidae
Description: partial large subunit ribosomal RNA
Source: RNAcentral